This is a long non-coding RNA of Bos taurus (domestic cattle), 563 nucleotides long. The record is from Ensembl. NCBI's taxonomy places the organism in Eukaryota, Metazoa, Chordata, Mammalia, Artiodactyla, Bovidae.
GAAUGGGGCUUCCUACAGCCUCCUUGGAAACCUAUGCCUCCGUGACUCGCCACUGUGGGUCUCUGGCCCCAGUGUUAGGCACAAGGCUGGGGCGAAGCCUGAGGUAGUGGUGUCUCAGGGUCACGCUCUCUGCUCAGGCUCCAGGGGCUGACCCUCCCUGCCCCACCUGGCCGCGGGCUCCGGGCACUCCUGGGCUUCUGGCUGCAUCCCUCUGACUUCUGCCCCCAUGUCACGGGGCCUCCUCCUCCAUGUUUGUGUCUCUCUUCUGCUUCUCGUGAGGACACUUGCUGCUGGACGUAGGGACCAACCAGAUAGUCCAGAAUGCUGGCUUCCCGUGGACAUCCCCACCCAGCUCGUCUCACAUUGCAGGACCAGUCAGACCAGAAGCUCUGGAAGGACCCAGAUCCACCAGGGAGCACUUACCUCCUCCUCCCAGAACUCCCAAGUGGGCCUUGCUGCGAGGCACAGAAGGCAUAAGGCUGCUCCUGCUCGAAGUCCAUCAACGCCUGUCACCGGGCUUCUGCAUUUGAUUGUUUCACAGCUAUUAUUGUUUUAAAUAGUUG